This 4182-nucleotide ribosomal RNA is filed under the name Triticum aestivum (bread wheat). RNAcentral's name for it is "partial small subunit ribosomal RNA". Lineage: Eukaryota; Viridiplantae; Streptophyta; Magnoliopsida; Poales; Poaceae. The record is from RNAcentral.
AUGGGCGAGGAGGAACAAGGACAAGAUGGUAUAGCAGUGGAUGAUCCGGAGAAGAAGGCGUCGGCUGCGAGCGGCAGGCUACAGCUGCCGUCGUCGUCGUCGUUGAGGGAGGCGCUCUCCUCGACCUCCUCCCUGUCCCUCAGAGAGCAGCACCACGACGAGGAGGUGGAGCUCAAGUGGGCGGCCAUCGAGCGGCGGCCCACCUGGGACAGGCUCCACACCUCGCUCCCUCUCCAUGCCAGCCCCAAUGCCGACGGCGCCCGUCCGCUGGAGCCGGUGGACGUGUGCCGGCUGGGGGCGGCGGACCGGCGGGAGCUGGUGCACACCCUCAUCGCCGACAUCCACAAGGACAACCUCCGCCUGCUCCGCCACCAGCGCCGCAGGAUGGACAGGGUCGGCGUGCGGCAGCCCACGGUGGAGGUGCGGUGGCGGAACCUGCGCGUCCAGGCCGAGUGCCAGGUCGUCGAUGGCAAGCCGCUCCCCACGCUCCUCAACUCCGCCAUCUCCACGCUCUCCCUGCUCACCACCAUGCUCGGCUUCAACCGUAACCAAGAAAGGAUCCACAUCCUCAAAGAUGUCACCGGCAUCCUCAAACCUUCCAGGAUGACCCUUCUCCUUGGACCCCUAGGCUGUGGAAAAACCACCCUUUUGCUAGCACUUGCUGGAAGGCUUAACAAAAAUCUCAAGGUAACAGGAGAAAUUGACUACAAUGGUGUCAAGCUGCAAGAUUUUGUUCCAGAGAAGACAUCAGCUUACAUUGGCCAGUAUGAUCUUCAUGUCCCUGAGAUGACUGUCAGGGAGACGCUCGACUUCUCUGCAAGAUUCCAGGGUGUUGGCAGCAGAGCAGAAAUCAUGAAGGAAGUCAUUAGGAGGGAGAAGGAGGCUGGGAUCACCCCUGACCCCAACAUAGAUACAUACAUGAAGGCAAUAUCUGUGGAAGGUUUAGAAAGAAGCAUGCAAACAGACUACAUUAUGAAGAUAAUGGGACUUGACAUAUGCGCUGAUGUACUAGUAGGAGAUGCCAUGAGAAGAGGCAUUUCAGGCGGUGAGAAGAAAAGACUAACCACAGGAGAGAUGAUAGUAGGACCAUCAAAAGCGCUCUUCAUGGAUGAAAUAUCAACUGGUUUCUUUGAAUCAUGUGGCUUUAAAUGCCCCGAAAGAAAAGGGAGCGCUGACUUCCUUCAAGAGGUCCUGUCAAAAAAAGAUCAGCAACAAUACUGGAGCCACACCGAAGAAGGAUAUAAUUUUGUUACAGUUGAUCAAUUCUGUGAUAAGUUUAAAGCAUCUCAAAGUGGUCAGAAUCUUGCUGCGGAGCUUUCGAAGCCGUAUGACGAAUCUAAAGGACAUAAGAAUGCGCUGUCCUUCAGUAUCUACUCAUUAUCCAAGUGGGAUCUACUCAAGGCAUGUUUUGCACGGGAGCUCCUUCUUAUGAAAAGGAAUGCCUUCAUCUACAUAUCAAAAUCCAUUCAGCUUGGAUUACUUGCUGUUAUUACUGGGACAGUAUUUCUGCGCACACGUAUGGGUGUUGACAGAAUUCAUGCUAACUAUUAUAUGGGUUCACUCUUCUAUGCACUCCUGCUGCUGAUGGUGAAUGGAUUCCCUGAGCUGGCCAUGGCAAUUAACAGACUGCCAGUCUUCUACAAACAGAGAGAUGACUACUUCUAUCCUGCAUGGGCUUAUGCAAUACCAUCUUUUAUCCUAAAGAUUCCAGUCUCUUUAGUUGAGUCAAUAGCUUGGACAACAAUAUCCUACUACCUGAUUGGCUAUACCCCGGAAGCAUCCAGGUUCUUCUGUCAACUCCUCGUCCUCUUCCUCAUCCACACAGUAACAUUAUCAAUGUUUCGAUGUGUGGCCUCAUACUGUCAAACAAUGGUGGCUGGUUCAGUCGGUGGUACAAUGGCAUUUCUAGCGACCCUUCUGUUUGGGGGUUUCAUAAUUCCUCGCUCAUUUAUGCCUAAUUGGCUAAAGUGGGGAUUUUGGCUUUCUCCAUUGUCAUAUGGUGAAAUAGGCUUAACUGGAAAUGAGUUUUUGGCACAAAGAUGGUUGGAGAUCAAGAUAUCUGGUGUAGCACUUGGAAGGAGGAUCCUAAUGGAUCAAGGGCUAGACUUCUCCAGCUAUUUUUACUGGAUCUCAAUUGGAGCAUUGCUUGGGUUUACUUUGUUGUUCAAUGUAGGCUUCGCCAUAGGCUUGACCAUUAAAAAGGUUCCAGGAACUUCUCGAGCUAUUAUCUCUCGCAAUAAGCUUACCAGAUUUGAUGGAGGAGACCAAGAUAACAACAUGGAAAAUAUGAUGCCUAAGUUACAAGCAGAGACUGUUUUGUCACCAAAUAGGACCGGGAGGAUGGUAUUGCCUUUCAUGCCCCUUAUAAUAUCAUUCCAGGAUGUCAACUACUAUGUAGACACCCCUGCGGAAAUGAGGGAGCAUGGUUACAUGGAAAAGAAACUACAGCUACUCCACAAUAUCACAGGAGCGUUCCAGCCAGGGGUUCUCUCGGCACUCAUGGGGGUUACUGGAGCGGGAAAAACAACACUCCUUGAUGUUCUUUCUGGAAGGAAAACUGGUGGUGUUAUUGAAGGGGAUGUAAGAAUAGGAGGCUAUCCUAAAAUUCAGCAGACUUUUGCUAGGAUAUCAGGCUACUGUGAACAAACUGAUGUCCAUUCCCCACAGAUCACAGUGGGUGAAUCGGUUGCAUAUUCAGCCUGGUUGCGCCUUCCACCAGAAGUUGAUGCAAAAGCAAGAAAUGAUUUUGUGAACGAAGUUCUUGAAACAAUUGAGUUGAACGAAAUUAGAGAUUCUUUGGUCGGAAUACCAGGGGUAAAUGGACUAUCAACAGAGCAAAGGAAACGGCUCACGAUUGCAGUCGAGCUCGUGUCUAACCCCUCAAUCAUAUUUAUGGACGAGCCAACAUCAGGCUUGGAUGCAAGGGCAGCUGCUAUUGUCAUGUGUGCAGUGAAGAAUGUUGCAGACACAGGUCAAACGGUUGUGUGCACCAUUCACCAACCAAGUAUCGAUAUAUUUGAGGCAUUUGAUGAGUUGAUGCUGAUGAAAAGGGGUGGAGAGUUGAUCUAUGCUGGGCCAGUUGGACACCAUUCAUGUGAAGUUAUCCAGUAUUUCCAGGCAAUACCUGGGGUUCCCAGGAUCAAGGACAAGUACAACCCAUCAACAUGGAUGCUAGAAGUUACUUCUACAUCUAUGGAACUUCAACUGGGAGUAGAUUUUGCACAAAUGUACAGGGAAUCAUCAAUGUGCAAGGACAAGGACAUGCUGGUGAAGCGCUUGAGCAUACCAGUUCCUGGUACAAGUGACCUCCAUUUCCCAACCCAGUUUCCGCAGAAGUUUCGGGAGCAAUUCAAAGCUUGCUUCUGGAAGCAGUGUUUGUCGUAUUGGAGAACUCCUUCUUACAACCUGGUGCGGAUGGUAUUCAUAACAGUGGCCUGCAUUUUCUUUGGUGUGUUAUUCUGGCAGAAAGGCAACUUCAACCGCAUAAACGACCAGCAAGGUCUCAUCACCAUAUUGGGGUGCAUGUAUGGAACCACUCUGUUCAGUGGCAUCAACAACUGCCAAUCAGUGAUGCCUUUUGUCUCCAUUGAACGCUCCGUCGUGUACAGGGAGAGGUUCGCAGGGAUGUACUCUCCUUGGGCCUACUCCUUUGCGCAGGUUGCCAUGGAGAUACCUUAUGUGCUGGUGCAGGUAGUGAUCUUCAUGUUGAUAGCAUAUCCGAUGAUAGGGUACGAGUGGACAGCAGCAAAGUUCUUUUGGUUCAUGUACACCAUGUUGUGCACGCUGUUCUACUUCCUCUACCUGGGAAUGAUGAUUGUGUCGCUCACCCCCAACAUCCAAGUCGCAUCCAUACUUGCAUCCAUGUUCUACACCCUACAGAACCUCAUGUCCGGCUUCAUCGUGCCUGCGCCUCAAAUACCAAAAUGGUGGAUAUGGCUCUACUACAUCUCCCCAAUGUCAUGGACGCUCAAUGUCUUCUUCACCACGCAGUUUGGAGAUCACGAUGACAUGAUGAUCGAUGUAUUUGGAGAGACCAAAUCCGUCGCAGCAUUUAUGAGGGACUACUUUGGUUUUCGCCGUGACCUACUGCCACUGGCAGCAGUGGCCCUGGCAGCAUUCCCUGUCCUCUUUGCCGUCCUCUUUGGUUACAACAUCUCAAAGCUCAACUUUCAAAGGCGAUAG